This 324-nucleotide unclassified non-coding RNA is filed under the name soil metagenome. RNAcentral describes it as "partial contains 5.8S ribosomal RNA, internal transcribed spacer 2, and large subunit ribosomal RNA". The stretch from base 1 to 120 matches the Rfam family "5.8S ribosomal RNA", at positions 35 to 154 of the family's 154-position model. The record is from RNAcentral.
GAUGAAGAACGCAGCGAAAUGCGAUAAGUAAUGCGAAUUGCAGAAUUCAGUGAAUCAUCGAAUCUUUGAACGCACAUUGCGCCCCUUGGUAUUCCAUGGGGCAUGCCUGUUCGAGCGUCAUUUGUACCUUCAAGCUUUGCUUGGUGUUGGGUGUUUGUCCCUCGGGACUCGCCUUAAAGUCAUUGGCAGCCAGUGUUUUGGUUUUGAAGCGCAGCACAAGUCGCGAUUCAAGGCUAUCCGCCCGCUUCCACAAGCCUUUUUCACUUUUGACCUCGGAUCAGGUAGGGAUACCCGCUGAACUUAAGCAUAUCAAUAAGCGGAGGA